UCGAAACCGUCGUUUGGUAAUAAAAGAUCCUUUAUUUUGACACUUUUGACAUAUAAGCAUGGUUAUUUAUGUCAAAAUAAAGGAUCUUUUAUUAAAGGACGAUGUUAAAUAGGGUUUCGAUAUCUCUCUAUUGCCACCGGCAAAUAAAGGAUCCUUUAUUACAGGAUACUUUAAUCAGUGUGCGUCUUGGAAGAGUGUUGCCAUCGUAUACGCUAAAAGCUGAUUGGCUCCGCCAUCUUUUGCUCAGAUUUCCGGAUUAAUUUGGAAGGGGUAAACAGAUGAUCAGUUGUUUAUUUUUCGUUUACUCUGGUUUAACCUCACUUAACUAGAUAGAUCGAGAAAUAUUAAAUUACUAUUACUAUUAUUCAGGUUGAAAAAUGCCUUCUUCUAAGGUAAAAGGUUGCGAAGUCGAUUGGGGAAAAAUAAUGUGAAAAUGAAUUCUUUCCCAAAAGAAUCUGAACGACGGAAAGUGUGGAUUAAAAAUAUAGGGUUAAAACAAGAUCCAAACAAAUAUGCUGUUGUUUGUGAAAAAAACUGUAAAUAGUAUUUAAGGCAACGAUUGUGAAUGAGUGAGAAGUCUAAUAAAGCCACGACGAGAUACUGUAUUAGAGCGUAUGAUUUGGAGGUAUUUUUGAUUAGAUACAUUUUGUAAAGUACAAUAUAAAUUAGAUUUGAUAAUGUGUAGUAUUUCCUAAUAAAUUAAAUACUAUUAAGUGUUUAUUGUUCUUGUAAGUUAGUGUGGUAAAUAAAUAAUAUGAAGUAAG
Long non-coding RNA from Diabrotica virgifera virgifera (western corn rootworm), 764 nucleotides. RefSeq lists it as uncharacterized. Lineage: Eukaryota; Metazoa; Arthropoda; Insecta; Coleoptera; Chrysomelidae. The record is from RefSeq and is a predicted model, not a curated record. The transcript has 2 exons.